This 600-nucleotide ribosomal RNA is filed under the name uncultured bacterium. RNAcentral's name for it is "bacterial SSU rRNA". It matches the Rfam family "Bacterial small subunit ribosomal RNA", at positions 338 to 947 of the family's 1533-position model. The record is from RNAcentral.
CCUACGGGAGGCAGCAGUGGGGAAUAUUGCACAAUGGGCGCAAGCCUGAUGCAGCGACGCCGCGUGAGGGAUGACGGCCUUCGGGUUGUAAACCUCUUUCAGUAGGGAAGAAGCGAAAGUGACGGUACCUGCAGAAGAAGCGCCGGCUAACUACGUGCCAGCAGCCGCGGUAAUACGUAGGGCGCAAGCGUUAUCCGGAAUUAUUGGGCGUAAAGAGCUCGUAGGCGGUUUGUCGCGUCUGCCGUGAAAGUCCGGGGCUCAACUCCGGAUCUGCGGUGGGUACGGGCAGACUAGAGUGAUGUAGGGGAGACUGGAAUUCCUGGUGUAGCGGUGAAAUGCGCAGAUAUCAGGAGGAACACCGAUGGCGAAGGCAGGUCUCUGGGCAUUAACUGACGCUGAGGAGCGAAAGCAUGGGGAGCGAACAGGAUUAGAUACCCUGGUAGUCCAUGCCGUAAACGUUGGGCACUAGGUGUGGGGGACAUUCCACGUUUUCCGCGCCGUAGCUAACGCAUUAAGUGCCCCGCCUGGGGAGUACGGCCGCAAGGCUAAAACUCAAAUGAAUUGACGGCUGAGACGNGCGAGACGACGACGAGGGAGAGG